ACGGGUGCGUAACACGUGGAUAAUCUGCCUGGAAGCCUGGAAUAACCUGCCGAAAGGCUGGCUAAUACCAGAUAAGCCCACGGCCCCUUCGGGGACUGAGGGAAAAGGUGGCCUCUAUUUAUAAGCUAUCACUUCUAGAUGAGUCCGCGGCCCAUCAGCUAGUUGGCGGGGUAAUGGCCCACCAAGGCAACGACGGGUAGCUGGUCUGAGAGGACGAUCAGCCACACUGGAACUGAGACACGGUCCAGACUCCUACGGGAGGCAGCAGUGGGGAAUUUUGCGCAAUGGGCGAAAGCCUGACGCAGCAACGCCGCGUGUGCGAUGAAGGUCUUCGGAUUGUAAAGCACUUUCGGCCGGGACGAAAACCCCUUGGCUAACAUUCAAGGGCUUGACUGUACCGGAAGAAGAAGCACCGGCUAACUCUGUGCCAGCAGCCGCGGUAAUACAGAGGGUGCAAGCGUUGUUCGGAAUUAUUGGGCGUAAAGCGCGUGUAGGCGGCAUAGCAAGUCGGGUGUGAAAGCCCUCAGCUUAACUGAGGAAGUGCGCCCGAAACUGCUGUGCUUGAGUGCCGGAGAGGAUGGCGGAAUUCCCCA
RNAcentral lists this ribosomal RNA (593 nucleotides) under uncultured bacterium. Its description in RNAcentral is "bacterial SSU rRNA". It matches the Rfam family "Bacterial small subunit ribosomal RNA", at positions 102 to 673 of the family's 1533-position model. The record is from RNAcentral.